Molecule: ribosomal RNA, 491 nt
Filed under: uncultured bacterium
Lineage: Bacteria
Description: partial 16S ribosomal RNA
Rfam family: Bacterial small subunit ribosomal RNA
Source: RNAcentral
AGUGAACGCUGGCGGUAGGCCUAACACAUGCAAGUCGAACGGCAGCACAGUAAGAGCUUGCUCUUACGGGUGGCGAGUGGCGGACGGGUGAGGAAUACAUCGGAAUCUACUUUUUCGUGGGGGAUAACGUAGGGAAACUUACGCUAAUACCGCAUACGACCUACGGGUGAAAGCAGGGGAUCUUCGGACCUUGCGCGACUGAAUGAGCCGAUGUCGGAUUAGCUAGUUGGCGGGGUAAAGGCCCACCAAGGCGACGAUCCGUAGCUGGUCUGAGAGGAUGAUCAGCCACACUGGAACUGAGACACGGUCCAGACUCCUACGGGAGGCAGCAGUGGGGAAUAUUGGACAGUGGGCGCAAGCCUGAUCCAGCCAUACCGCGUGGGUGAAGAAGGCCUUCGGGUUGUAAAGCCCUUUUGUUGGGAAAGAAAAGCAGCAGGUUAAUACCCCGCUGUUCGGACGGUACCCAAAGAAUAAGCACCGGCUAACUUCGU